GCUUGACAGUACAUGUAUGGCUUCUCUUUCUUUCCCACCCCCACUAGAAUGUCAGCUCCCUGAAAGAAGAUGCUUUAGUUGGUGUCCUACCACAUUCCCAGAUCUGAGAACAGGACUUGGAACAAACAAGAUCCUACAAAUACUAAUUAAGCACUGUCGGUGCCAAACAUUGAUCUGACCAUUCCCAUUCUGUGGACAUGUCUCCCUCUUUUACAUCUUGAAGUCAACAAAGGUAGAAAAUUCUGAAACAAAUGGAAACACAUUGCCUGCCAUUGAAGACAGUUAGAGGGCCACAAUUUGAGCGCUGAAGUUUGAAAGUGGUCACUCUUAGCUAAUUUUAAAAGACAGCGGGACCACUGAGACAAGGACUCCGACUGCAUGAGUGGUGGUGAGGAAGUGGCCCUCAGAGCAGAGAUGGACCAAGAUAGGACUUGUGGGCAAGAAGGCAAAGAUGAUGUAAUAUUUCCUGGCUUGGGCAUCGGAGUUGCCAAAAUUGUCGUUCACCACAGCAGGAGCACAAAACAACUUUCAAUCCUCUUGCUUCAGCCUCCAAGAGUGCUGGGAUUACAGAGCAAAGGAUCACCAUAUCCCCGAGCAGUGUGUUGUGUACAACGGUUUAACAUCCGCCUCCUUCAGUAGAUUGUGAGCUCUUCACAGCUGUCACCCGAGUGAAACCAAACUAACAAGUCGGGCUGUGCUGAUGAUUGAAUAGUGUGACUCACUUCCAGCAAUAUGACAGGCUUGGUUGUCAAAGAAAAUGACUCCUAGUGACAGACCACCUAAAAUGCUAAUAAAACAGUUUUUUCAGUCUCUUCACUGAUGUCACUGAACUGAGUG
Long non-coding RNA from Fukomys damarensis (Damara mole-rat), 837 nucleotides. The record is from Ensembl. NCBI's taxonomy places the organism in Eukaryota, Metazoa, Chordata, Mammalia, Rodentia, Bathyergidae.